CGACAAACAAGCAACAAAUCCAGUCGAUACUGAAGAAAGGAAUAAGAAUGAACGCGCCAAAGAAACGGAGCCAGUUGUCCCGCAAUCACUUCUGAACGACAUCAUGAACAAUUUAGAGUAAUACUUUAUACUCUCAAUACUUUAGAACAUGAAGGUUAAGAAUGUAGAACAUCAUAGAUCAUUGUGUAGAACAUCAUAGAAAUUGGGUGCUUCUUGUUCUAGUUGAAGCUAUAUCAUGUUUGUUUGAUGAUAAUAUUGAGUAAUACUGUUAUUCUAUA
Long non-coding RNA from Spinacia oleracea (spinach), 278 nucleotides. RefSeq lists it as uncharacterized. Lineage: Eukaryota; Viridiplantae; Streptophyta; Magnoliopsida; Caryophyllales; Amaranthaceae. The transcript is spliced from 2 exons. The record is from RefSeq and is a predicted model, not a curated record.